UGACCUACCUGUUUGGUUUUGAUCUGGU
Molecule: non-coding RNA, 28 nt
Filed under: Mus musculus (house mouse)
Lineage: Eukaryota; Metazoa; Chordata; Mammalia; Rodentia; Muridae
Source: RNAcentral